UGGAAGGCUCUAGGGGAAUAAAGAUGGAAUGACUUCUAAUUUUUAGGUCCGUAUGAUUUGAAAUACUUGCACACAAACCGCGCGAAAGCGUUCCUGGAAAUCUCAGCCCAAAAAAGGACGUUUAGUAAUUUUAAAAGGGACUAUAGGAUGAAAAACAAUAGUUUUGGCAAUUAAAGUUUGAGAUUCGACGGUGUCGUAGAUCCGUUUGGUCAUCAGGUGUUACGAGCCACACCCAUGUCUAGCUAGAAUAGUAUGUCAGGCUCAGGUUAGAGUAGAAACGGGGAACAAACUGAUGAAAGAAUGAUCAUACCAAGGGAAUUCACUCAGAACUAUCAAGAAUGAUAACGUGCUCCGACUGGAGUGAUUUAGGAACUGCUGGAAGGCUCUAGGGGAAUAAAGAUGGAAUGACUUCUAAUUUUUACGUCCGUAUGAUUUGAAAUACUUGCACACAAAUCACGCAAAAGCGUUCCUGGAAAUCUCAGCCUAAAAAAGGACGUUUAGUAAUUCUAAAAGGGACUACAGGAUGAAAAACAAUAGUUUGGGCAGUUAAAAUUUGAGAUUCGACGGUGCCGUAGAUCCGUUUGGUCAUCAGGUGUUACGAGCGACACCCUUGUCUAGCUAGAAUAGUGUGUUAGGCUCAGACUAGAGAAGAAACGGGGAACAAAGUGAUGAAAGAAUGAUCAUACCGAGGGAAUUCACUCAGAACUAACAAGAAUGAUAACGUGCUCCGACUGGAGCGGUUUAGUAACUGCUGGAAGGCUCUAGGGGAAUGAAGAUGGAAUGACUUCUAAUUUUUAGGUCCGUAUGAUUUGAAAUACAUGCACACAAACCCUGAGAAAGCGUUCCUGGAAAUCUCGGUCGAAAAAAGGAUGUUUAAUAAUUCUAAAAGGGACUACCGGAUGAAAAACAAUAGUUUUGGCAGUUAAAGUUUGUGAUUCGAUGGUGCCGUAGAUCUGUUUGGUCAUCAGGUGUUACGAGCCACACCCAUGUCUAUCUAGAAUAGUGUGUUAGGCUCAGGCUAGAGCAGAAACGGGGAACAGACUUAUGAAAGAAUGAUCAUACCGAGGGAAUUCACUCAGAACUAACAAGAAUGAUAACGUGCUCCGACUGGCGCGGUUUAGGAACUGCUGGAAGGCUCUAGGGGAAUAAAGAUGGAAAGACUUCUAAUUUUUAGGUCCGUAUGAUUUGAAAUACUUGCACACAAACCGCACGAAAGCGUUCCUGGAAAUCUCAGCCUAAAAAGGAUGUUUAGUAAUUCUAAAAGGGACUACAAGAUGAAAAAUAAUAGUUUGGGCAGUUAAAAUUUGAGAUUCGACGAUGCCGUAGAUCCGUUUGGUCAUCAGGUGUUAUGAGCCACACCCAUGUCUAGCUAGAAUAGUGUGUUAGGCUCAGGCUAGAGAAGAAACGGGGAACAAACUGAUGAAAGAAUGAUCAUACCGAGGGAAUUCACUCAGAACUAACAAGAAUGAUAACGUGCUCCGACUGGAGCAGUUUAGAAACUGCUGGAAGGCUCUAAUGGAAUAAAGAUGGAAUGCCUUCAAAUUUCUAGGUCCGUAUGAUUUGAAAUACUUGCACACAAACCGCUCGAAAGCGUUCCUGGAAAUCUCAGCCCAAAAAAGGACGUUUAGUAAUUCUAAAAGGGACUACAGGAUGAAAAACAAUAGUUUUGGCAGUUAAAGUUUGAGAUUCGAUGGUGCCGUAGAUCCGUUUGGUCAUCAGGUGUAACGAGCCACACACAUGUCUAGCUAGAGUAGUGUGCUAGGCUCAGACUAGAGAAGAAACGGGGAACAAAGUGAUGAAAGAAUGAUCAUACCGAGGGAAUUCACUCAGAACUUACAAGAAUGAUAACGUGCUCCGACUGGAGCGCUUUAGUAACUGCUGGAAGGCUCUAGGCGAAUAAAGAUGGAAUGACUUCUAAUUUUUAGGUCCGUAUGAUUUGAAAUACUUGCACACAAACCACGCAAAACCGUUCCUAGAAAUCUCGGUCGAAAAAAGGACGUUUAGUAAUUCUAAAAGGGACUACAGGAUGAAAAACAAUAGUUUUGGCAGUUAAAGUUUGAGAUUCGAUGGUGCCGUAGAUCCGUUUGGUCAUCAGGUGUUACGAGCCACACCCAUGUCUAGCUAGAGUAGUGUGCUAGGUUCAGACUAGAGAAGAAACGGGGAACAAAGUGAUUAAAGAAUGAUCAUACCGAGGGAAUUCACUCAGAACUAACAAGAAUGAUAACGUGCUCCGACUGGAGCGGUUUAGGAACUGCUGGAAGGCUCUAGGGGAAUAAAGAUGGAAUGACUUCUAAUUUUUACGUCCGUAUGAUUUGAAAUACAUGCACACAAACCACGCAAAAGCGUUCCUGGAAAUCUCAGCCUAAAAAAGGACGUUUAGUAAUUCUAAAAGGGACUACAGGAUGAAAAAUAAUAGUUUGGGCAGUUAAAAUUUGAGAUUCGACGCUGCCGUAGAUCCGUUUGGUCAUCAGGUCUUACGAGCCACACCCAUGUCUAGCUAGAAUAGUGUGUUAGGCUCAGGCUAGAGAAGAAACGGGGAACAAACUGAUGAAAGAAUGAUCAUACCGAGGGAAUUCACUCAGAACUAACAAGAAUGAUAACGUGCUCCGACUGGAGCAGUUUAGAAACUCCUGGAAGGCUCUAGGGGAAUAAAGAUGGAAUGACUUCAAAGUUUUAGGUCCGUAUGAUUUGAAAUACUUGCACACAAACCGCGUGAAAGCGUUCCUGGAAAUCUCAACCCAAAAAAGGGCGUUUAGUAAUUCUAAAAGGGACUACAGGAUGUAAAACAAUAGUUUUGGCAGUUAAAGUUUGAGAUUCGAUGGUGCCGUAGAUCCGUUUGGUCAUCAGGUGUAACGAGCCACACCCAUGUCUAGCUAGAGUAGUGUGCUAGGCUCAGACUAGAGAAGAAACGGGGAACAAAGUGAUGAAAGAAUGAUCAUACCGAGGGAAUUCACUCAUAACUAACAAGAAUGAUAACGUGCUCUGACUUGAGCGGUUUAGGAACUGCUGGAAGGCUAUAGGGGAAUAAAGAUGGAAUGACUUCAAAUUUUUAGGUCCGUAUGAUCUGAAAUACUUGCACACAAACCGCGAGAAAGCGUUCCUGGAAAUCUCAACCCAAAAAAGGACGUUUAGUAAUUCUAAAAGGGACUACAGGAUGAAAAACAAUAGUUCUGGCAGUUAUUGUUUGAGAUUCGAUAAUCUCGUAGAUCCGUUUGGUCAUCAGGUGUAACGAGCCACACCCAUGUCUAGCUAGAGUAGUGUGCUAGGCUCAGACUAGAGAAGAAACGGGGAACAAACUGAUGAAAGAAUGAUCAUACCGAGGGAAUUCACUUAGAACUAACAAGAAUGAUAACGUGCUCCGACUGGAGCGGUUUAGGAACUGCUGGAAGGCUCUAGGGGAAUAAAGAAGGAACGACUUCUAAUUUUUAGGUCCGUAUGAUUUGAAAUAUGUGCACACAAACCACGAGAAAGCGUUCCUAGAAAUCUCGGCCCAAAAGAGGACGUUUAGUAUUCUAAAAGGGACUACAGAAUGAAAAACAAUAGUUUUGGCAGUUAAAGUUUGAGAUUUGACGGUGCCGUAGAUCUGUUUGGUCAUCAGGGGUUACGAGCCACACCCAUGUCUAGCUAGAAUAGUGUGUUAGGCUCAGGCUAGAAAAGAAACGGGGAACAAAGUGAUGAAAGAAUGAUCAUACCGAGGGAAUUCACUCAGAACUAACAAGAAUGAUAACAUGCUCCGACUGGAGCGGUUUAGGAACUGCUGGAAGGCUCUAGGGGAAUAAAGAUGGAAUGACUUCUAAUUUUUAGGUCCGUAUGAUUUGAAAUACUUGCACACAAACCGCGCGAAAGCGUUCCUGGAAAUCUCAGCCCAAAAAAGGACGUUUAGUAAUUCUAAAAGGGACUACAGGAUGAAAAACAAUAGUUUUGGCAGUUAAAGUAUGAGAUUCAACGGUGCCGUAGAUCCGUUUGGUCAUUAGGUGUUACGAGCCACACCCAUGUCUAGCUAGAAUAGUGUGCUAGGCUCAGGCUAGAGAAGAAACGGGGAACAAACUGAUGAAAGAAUGAUCAAACCGAGGGAAUUCACUCAGAACUAACAAUAAUGAUAACGUGCUCCGACUGGAGCGGUUUAGGAACUGCUGGAAGUCUCUAGGGGAAUAAAGAUGGAAUGACUUCUAAUUUUUACGUUCGUAUGAUUUGAAAAACUUGCCCAUAAACCGCGCGAAAGUGUUCCUGGAAAUCUCAGCCCAAAAAAGGACGUUUAGUAAUUUUAAAAGGGACUACACGAUGAAAAACAAUAGUUUUGGCAGGUAAAGUUUGAGAUUCGACAGUGCCGUAGAUCCGUUUGGUCAUCAGGUGUUACGAGCCACACCCAUGUCUAGCUAGAAUAGUAUGUUACGCUCAGGUUAGAGAAGAAACGGGGAACAAACUGAUGAAAGAUGAUCAUACCAAGGGAAUUCACUCAGAACUAACAAGAAUGAUAACGUGCUCCGACUGGAGCGGUUUAGGAACUGCUGGAAGGCUCUAGGGGAAUAAAGAUGGAAUGACUUCUAAUUUUUACGUCUGUAUGAUUUGAAAUACUUGCACACAAACAACGCAAAAGCAUUCCUGGAAAUCUCAUCCUAAAAAAGGACGUUUAGUAAUUCUAAAAGGGACUACAGGAUGAAAAAUAAUAGUUUGGGAAGUUAAAAUUUGAGAUUCGAUAGUGCCGUAGAUCCGUUUGGUCAUCAGGUGUUAGGAGCCACACCCAUGUCUAGCUAGAAUAGUGUGUUAGGCUCAGGCUAGAGAAGAAACAGGGAACAAACUGAUGAAA
RNAcentral lists this long non-coding RNA (4807 nucleotides) under Triticum aestivum (bread wheat). Its description in RNAcentral is "long non-coding RNA (TAES_LNC019907)". Lineage: Eukaryota; Viridiplantae; Streptophyta; Magnoliopsida; Poales; Poaceae. The record is from RNAcentral.